AGGUGGGAGGCUUUGAGUAUAUGACGCCAGUUGUAUAUGAGCCAUUGUUGAGAUACCACUCUUUCUUAUUUGGGUAGCUAACCAGCUUGAGUUAUCCUCAAGUGGGACAAUGUCUGGUGGGUAGUUUGACUGGGGCGGUCGCCUCCCAAAUAAUAACGGAGGCUUACAAAGGUUGGCUCAGAACGGUUGGAAAUCGUUCGUAGAGUAUAAAGGUAUAAGCCAGCUUAACUGCAAGACAUACAAGUCAAGCAGAGACGAAAGUCGGUCUUAGUGAUCCGGUGGUUCUGUGUGGAAGGGCCAUCGCUCAAAGGAUAAAAGGUACCCCGGGGAUAACAGGCUGAUCUCCCCCAAGAGCUCACAUCGACGGGGAGGUUUGGCACCUCGAUGU
This 388-nucleotide ribosomal RNA is filed under the name Campylobacter coli. RNAcentral describes it as "partial 23S ribosomal RNA". It matches the Rfam family "Bacterial large subunit ribosomal RNA", at positions 2145 to 2532 of the family's 2925-position model. The record is from RNAcentral. Lineage: Bacteria; Pseudomonadati; Campylobacterota; Epsilonproteobacteria; Campylobacterales; Campylobacteraceae. RNAcentral also lists the same sequence under 1 other name.